AGAGUUUGAUUAUGGCUCAGGAUGAACGCUGGCGGCGUGCCUAACACAUGCAAGUCGGACGGGAGUAAACUUGUUUGCUCCAGUGGCGCACGGGUGAGUAACACGUAGCUGACCUGUCCUGGAGGGAGGGACAACCCCGGGAAACCGGGGCUAAACCCGCAUAAGCCCACAGCGAUUAGUGCGCGGUGGGAAAACGUGGCAACACGACUUCAGGAGGGGGCUGCGGCCCAUCAGGUAGUUGGUGGGGUAAGAGCCUACCAAGCCGACGACGGGUAGGGGGUCUGAGAGGGUGGUCCCCCACACUGGGACUGAGACACGGCCCAGACUCCUACGGGAGGCAGCAGUGAGGAAUAUUGGUCAAUGGCCGCAAGGCUGAACCAGCGACGCCGCGUGGGCGAUGAAGGCUUUCGGGUCGUAAAGCCCUUUUCUGCGUGACGAGGAAGGACGGUAGCGCAGGAAGAAGCGUCGGCUAACUACGUGCCAGCAGCCGCGGUAAAACGUAGGACGCAAGCGUUAUCCGGAGUUACUGGGCGUAAAGGGCGUGUAGGCGGCGCUUCAAGUUCGUCGUGAAAGACCCCGGCUCAACCGGGGGAGGUCGAGGGAGACUGAGGCGCUGGAGGACGGUAGAGGGACAGGGAAUUCCGGGUGUAGUGGUGAAAUGCGUAGAGAUCCGGAGGAACACCAGUGGCGAAGGCGCUGUCCUGGGCCGUUGCUGACGCUGAGACGCGACAGCAUGGGGAGCGAACGGGAUUAGAAACCCCGGUAGUCCAUGCCGUAAACGAUGCCGACUGGGUGUUCGGCUCCCGGAAGGGAGUUGGGUGCCGCAGCUAACGCGCGAAGUCGGCCGCCUGGGGAGUACGGUCGCAAGGCUAAAACUCAAAGGAAUUGACGGGGGCCCGCACAAGCAGCGGAGCGUGUGGUUUAAUUCGAGGCUACCCGAAGAACCUUACCUGGGUUUGACAUCACCGUGGUAGCGAGCCGAAAGGCGAGCGACCUUCGGGAGCGGUGACAGGUGCUGCAUGGCUGUCGUCAGCUCGUGUCGUGAGAUGUACGGUUAAGUCCGCAAACGAGCGCAACCCCCGGUCGUAGUUACAUGUUUGUCUACGACGACUGCCCGUGAGAAACGGGAGGAAGGUGGGGAUGACGUCAAGUCAGCAUGGCCUUUAUAUCCAGGGCGACACACACGCUACAAUGGACGGUACAGAAGGGAGCGAAAGCGCGAGCUGGAGCCAACCCGAGAAAGCCGUUCGUAGUUCGGAUUGCAGGCUGCAACCCGCCUGCAUGAAGUUGGAGUUGCUAGUAACCGCCGGUCAGCCAAACGGCGGUGAAUACGUUCCCGGGCCUUGUACACACCGCCCGUCACGUCAUGGGAGCGGGUCACGCCUGAAGUCGGGAAGAUAACCGCAAGGAGCCUACCGCCGAGGGCAGGGCCGGUGACUGGGACGAAGUCGUAACAAGGUAACCA
RNAcentral lists this ribosomal RNA (1465 nucleotides) under uncultured bacterium. RNAcentral describes it as "bacterial SSU rRNA". It matches the Rfam family "Bacterial small subunit ribosomal RNA". The record is from RNAcentral.